RNAcentral lists this long non-coding RNA (263 nucleotides) under Pelobates cultripes (western spadefoot toad). Lineage: Eukaryota; Metazoa; Chordata; Amphibia; Anura; Pelobatidae. The record is from RNAcentral.
CCCAGAUAGCUUAGAUCUGAGUGCACAUUAUUAUUGAAUGGGGCUCAGAUCACACACAUACAAUUCAAUUGCCAUGGAGCUAAAGUCUUUUCCAUAGUCUUUCGUUACACGAAUUGGCUCCAUGGCAUAGCUAUCUGGGGUAGCACUACUCACAUACUGAAAGUCCCGAACAACCCGGCAGAAAUACCCAAAUAAACCUUAUUGCAGGGUAAAAUACAGCUAUCAGCACAGGGGCCAUAGUUGGAAGGCAGGAGGCUAGCCAG